UACGGAGGGUGCAAGCGUUGUCCGGAUUUAUUGGGUUUAAAGGGUGCGUAGGCGGCUAUUUGAGUCAGUGGUGAAAUCCAGCAGCUCAACUGUUGAACUGCCAUUGAUACUGAGUAGCUUGAAUAUAGUUGAGGUAGGCGGAAUUGACGGUGUAGCGGUGAAAUGCAUAGAUAUCGUCAAGAACCCCGAUUGCGAAGGCAGCUUACUAAACUAUAAUUGACGCUGAGGCACGAAAGCGUGGGGAUCAAACAGG
RNAcentral lists this ribosomal RNA (253 nucleotides) under uncultured bacterium. Its description in RNAcentral is "partial 16S ribosomal RNA". It matches the Rfam family "Bacterial small subunit ribosomal RNA", at positions 524 to 776 of the family's 1533-position model. The record is from RNAcentral.